CGCGGAUUCGGCAAGUGGACAAAGCCACCUGACUUUCUAUCAGGUAUUUCAGGGGUUCAAAUCCCCUAUCCGUGA
Molecule: transfer RNA, 75 nt
Filed under: Caudoviricetes sp.
Lineage: Duplodnaviria; Heunggongvirae; Uroviricota; Caudoviricetes
Description: tRNA-Glu
Rfam family: tRNA
About the family: Transfer RNA (tRNA) molecules are approximately 80 nucleotides in length. Their secondary structure includes four short double-helical elements and three loops (D, anti-codon, and T loops).
Source: RNAcentral